Long non-coding RNA from Sus scrofa (pig), 1126 nucleotides. RefSeq lists it as uncharacterized. The record is from RefSeq and is a predicted model, not a curated record. NCBI's taxonomy places the organism in Eukaryota, Metazoa, Chordata, Mammalia, Artiodactyla, Suidae.
GCAGCAACAUGGAUGCAACUAGAAAUUGUCAUAAAUAAACAGAUUGAUAGAUGAAGCAUAAAACAAGACCAGAUGCUGUGGUUUCCAGGAUACACUUGGCUUCCCAUCCUUUAUAACCUGGAGCAUUUUUUGCUCUCCAUUCCUGAUGUGUCUACCAGAGACCAGUCCCAUCAAGAGGAAGGAAUUCUCUAGGAAGCAAAUUCAGGAGUAAGAAACCCCACACCUAUUCUGCAUAGUCCAAUUUAUUGUUAAUUUCAUUAUCUAUUGAUAUACUGGGAAGGAUGUUAGUUUGGGACUUCUCUCUCUCACAGAAGUAGCAAAUCAACAUUAACACAGGUAAGACAUUUUAUCUUGAUAAAGUCACCUAUUCCAAUGUUAUGGAAAUAGUUAGAGAAGAUCUAGACAUAUAUCUAGAAAGGUAUAAUUUCAAGGAAUCACACUCUCUCAGGAUUGAAAGGAAUAUUAAUUUCAUUGAAUCUUCAGCCAAAGGCAGUGUGGAAUUGUAGAAAGAGUAUGUGCUAUGCAAUUAUAGGACUUUGAUUAAAUCACAGCUUUGCCACUUAGUAGCUAUGUGUUCAGGGUAAUUUAUUUAACUUGGUUUCUUCACCUAUAAAAUAGAGAUAGUGGCUACAUUAUAGAGUUGGUAGAAGAAUUGAAGAUAAUGUAUGUAAAGGACCUGGAAGAGACAUAAUAAGCAUUAUUAAAUGAUUGUUGUUUUUGUUCUGAUCAUAAAUGUCCCACCAACCAGUCAUUGUGCUUAUUUGAACAUUCCCAGUGACAUGGAAUUCACUAACUAUUCAGGUAGCCCAUUCUUAUGUUUGGAGAAUUCUUUAGCAUUAGUUCCUCUUUUUACUGAGCCUAAAUUGUUUCCCCUACAAAUUUUACCUGUGGUUCUCAUUUUUGCCAGCAGGGCUGCACACAUUAAGUGUGUAAAUCAAUUAAGCAUCUAAUCUAGAAUGGAAUAUAUGCUUCAAGAGUGGUGUGACCUGUGUGGAUAUUAGAGAUUUAUCAACACAAUUUAAAAUCCAACUAGCUUCCUUUUCCUAAAACCCACCUAUUUUUUCUUUUCUUUUUUUAUUGCCACAACUGGGGCAUGUGGAAGUUCCCAGGAUAGGGGUCGAAUUGG